GAGUUUGAUCGUGGCUCAGAUUGAACGCUGGCGGAAUGCUUUACACAUGCAAGUCGAGCGGCAGCGCGGGGCAACCUGGCGGCGAGCGGCGAACGGGUGAGUAAUGCAUCGGAACAUGUCCAUGUCGUGGGGGAUAGCCCGGCGAAAGCCGGAUUAAUACCGCAUACGCCCGAGAGGGGAAAGCCGGGGACCGCAAGGCCUGGCGCGAUUGGGUUGGCCGAUGUCCGAUUAGCUAGUUGGCGGGGUAAGAGCCCACCAAGGCGAUGAUCGGUAGCUGGUCUGAGAGGAUGAUCAGCCACACUGGGACUGAGACACGGCCCAGACUCCUACGGGAGGCAGCAGUGGGGAAUUUUGGACAAUGGGGGCAACCCUGAUCCAGCCAUUCCGCGUGAGUGAAGAAGGCCUUCGGUUGUAA
This 415-nucleotide ribosomal RNA is filed under the name uncultured beta proteobacterium. RNAcentral's name for it is "bacterial SSU rRNA". It matches the Rfam family "Bacterial small subunit ribosomal RNA", at positions 9 to 428 of the family's 1533-position model. Lineage: Bacteria; Pseudomonadati; Pseudomonadota; Betaproteobacteria. The record is from RNAcentral.